AUUCCGGUUGAUCCUGCCGGACCAGACUGCUGUUGGAGUUCGACUAAGCCAUGCAAGUCUUCCGGAAGGAGGCGAAAGGCUGAGUAACACGUAGGUAACCUACCUUAUGGAGGGGCAUACCCUCGGGAAACUGAGGAUAAUUCCCCAUAGGAUUUGGUGACUGGAAUGUCCCAAAACCCAAAGCUUCGGCGCCAUAAGAUGGGCCUGCGGCCUAUCAGGUUGUUGGCGGGGUAAUGGCCCACCAAGCCUUUGACGGGUAGGGGCAGUGAGAGCUGAAGCCCCCAGACGGGCACUGAGAUACUGGCCCGAGCCUUACGGGGUGCAGCAGGCGCGAAACCUUUACAAUGCACGCAAGUGUGAUAAGGGAACUCCAAGUGCCAUUGCUUUUUGCAAUGGCUUUUUUUGAGUGUAAACAGCUCUAGGAAUAAGAGCUGGGUAAGACAGGUGCCAGCAGCCGCGGUAAUACCUGCAGCUCAAGUGGUCUGGAUUUUUAUUGGGUCUAAAGCGUUUGUAGCCGGACUCGCAAGUCUUCUGUGAAAUCUGACGGCUUAACCGUCAGGCGUGCAGGGGAAACUACAAGUCUAGGGACCGGGAAGGGCCAAAGAUACUCUAGGGGUAGGGGUGAAAUCCAAUAAUCCUUAGGGGAUCGCCAGUGGCGAAGGCGUUUGGCUAGAACGGGUCCGACGGUGAGGGACGAAAGCUAGGGGAGCGAACGGGAUUAGAUACCCCGGUAGUCCUAGCUGUAAACGAUGAGCACUAGUUCGAGGGGACCCCCACAUCCUCUUGGACGUAGCGAAAGUGUUAAGUGCUCCGCCUGGGGAGUAUGGUCGCAAGGCUGAAACUCAAAGGAAUUGACGGGGGCUCACACAAGCGGUGGAGGAUGUGGCUUAAUUCGAGGCUACGCGAAGAACCUUAUCCUGGUCUUGACAUGUACGGAUGGGCUGCCUGAAAGGGAUAGUCCCUGCCUUCGGGUGAAACGUACACAGGUGCUGCAUGGCCGUCGUCAGCUCGUGUCGUGAGAUGUCGGGUUAAGUCCCUUAACGAGCGAAACCCUUGUUCCUAGUUGCCAGCACGUAAUGGUGGGGACUCUAGGGAGACUGCCGGUGUUAAACCGGAGGAAGGUGGGGAUGACGUCAAGUCCUCAUGGCCUUUAUGCCCAGGGCUACACACGUGCUACAAUGGCGAGGACAGAGGGUCGCGAACCCGUGAGGGGGGAGCCAAUCCCACAAACCUCGUC
This 1237-nucleotide ribosomal RNA is filed under the name marine metagenome. Its description in RNAcentral is "bacterial SSU rRNA". It matches the Rfam family "Archaeal small subunit ribosomal RNA", at positions 1 to 1243 of the family's 1478-position model. The record is from RNAcentral.